Molecule: non-coding RNA, 108 nt
Organism: Canis lupus familiaris (dog)
Lineage: Eukaryota; Metazoa; Chordata; Mammalia; Carnivora; Canidae
Source: Rfam
GGGAGGAACAACCCCAGUGGUGGGGCCAGCUCUAGAGCCCCGGAUUCAGCCCCCGCAGGAACUCCAGAGCUCUCCUCCGUCUGCAGGGCCUGGAGGCUCCGGGCGGGG